CGCGCAGGUGGUUUCUUAAGUCUGAUGUGAAAGCCCACGGCUCAACCGUGGAGGGUCAUUGGGAACUGGGAGACUUGAGUGCAGAAGAGGAUAGUGGAAUUCCAAGUGUAGCGGUGAAAUGCGUAGAGAUUUGGAGGAACACCAGUGGCGAAGGCGACUGUCUGGUCUGUAACUGACACUGAGGCGCGAAAGCGUGGGAGCAAACA
This 206-nucleotide ribosomal RNA is filed under the name uncultured bacterium. RNAcentral describes it as "partial 16S ribosomal RNA". It matches the Rfam family "Bacterial small subunit ribosomal RNA", at positions 568 to 774 of the family's 1533-position model. The record is from RNAcentral.